AGGAAUAUUGGUCAAUGGACGGAAGUCUGAACCAGCCAUGCCGCGUGCAGGAUGACGGCUCUAUGAGUUGUAAACUGCUUUUGUACGAGGGUAAACCCGAAUACGUGUAUUCGGCUGAAAGUAUCGUACGAAUAAGGAUCGGCUAACUCCGUGCCAGCAGCCGCGGUAAUACGGAGGAUCCAAGCGUUAUCCGGAUUUAUUGGGUUUAAAGGGUGCGUAGGCGGUUAGAUAAGUUAGAGGUGAAAUUCCGGUGCUUAACACCGGCGCUGCCUCUAAUACUGUUUGACUAGAGAGUAGUUGCGGUAGGCGGAAUGUAUGGUGUAGCGGUGAAAUGCUUAGAGAUCAUACAGAACACCGAUUGCGAAGGCAGCUUACCAAGCUAUAUCUGACGUUGAGGCACGAAAGCGUGGGGAGCAAACAGGAUUAGAUACCCUGGUAGUCCACGCAGUAAACGAUGAUAACUCGUUGUCGGCGAUACAAUGUCGGUGACUAAGCGAAAGCGAUAAGUUAUCCACCUGGGGAGUACGUUCGCAAGAAUGAAACUCAAAGGAAUUGACGGGGGCCCGCACAAGCGGAGGAACAUGUGGUUUAAUUCGAUGAUACGCGAGGAACCUUACCCGGGCUUGAAAGUUAGUGACGGACUUGGAAACAAGUCUUCCCUUCGGGGCACGAAACUAGGUGCUGCAUGGUUGUCGUCAGCUCGUGCCGUGAGGUGUCGGGUUAAGUCCCAUAACGAGCGCAACCCCUACCGUUAGUUGCCAGCAUUAAGUUGGGGACUCUGGCGAGACUGCCGGUGACAAGCCGGAGGAAGGCGGGGAUGACGUCAAAUCAUCAUGCCCCUUAUGACUUGGGCUACACACGUGCUACAAUGGCGUAAACAAAGGGAAGCAAAGCUGUGAAGCCGAGCAAAUCUCAAAAAUAACGUCUCAGUUCGGACUGUAGUCUGCAACCCGACUACACGAAGCUGGAAUCGCUAGUAAUCGCAGAUCAGAAUGCUGCGGUGAAUACGUUCCCG
This 1015-nucleotide ribosomal RNA is filed under the name uncultured bacterium. Its description in RNAcentral is "bacterial SSU rRNA". It matches the Rfam family "Bacterial small subunit ribosomal RNA", at positions 357 to 1376 of the family's 1533-position model. The record is from RNAcentral.